Pelobates cultripes (western spadefoot toad) is the source of this 218-nucleotide non-coding RNA. Lineage: Eukaryota; Metazoa; Chordata; Amphibia; Anura; Pelobatidae. The record is from the annotation of a GenBank genome assembly.
AGAGAGAGGGAGGGAGGGAGAAACAAAAAAAAGAGAGGGCUGCGUCUUCUCGUCACGUCCGGAGACAUCCCCAGCAUGAUCGUCCGGCUCCCAGCUCGGAGCCCCCAGUGAAGGGGCCCCUGCUCCCUGUGUCUCCCCCUCUCUCCUCCCCCCUCUCUUUUCCUUCUCUCCCCCUCUCUAUCCUUACCUCUGCCCCCCCCCCCCCCCGCAUUGCCCCC